Molecule: ribosomal RNA, 251 nt
Filed under: uncultured prokaryote
Description: partial 16S rRNA
Rfam family: Bacterial small subunit ribosomal RNA
Source: RNAcentral
ACGAAGGUGGCGAGCGUUGUUCGGAAUCACUGGGCUUAAAGAGCACGUAGGCGGGCUGUCUUGCGUGGUGUGAAAUCCCCCGGCUUAACCGGGGAAUUGCAUGGCGAACGGGCAGUCUUGAGGCAGGUAGAGGUGUGGAGAACUCUUGGUGGAGCGGUGGAAUGCGUAGAUAUCAAGAGGAAUGCCGGAGGCGAAGGCGCCGCACUGGGCCUGUCCUGACGCUGAGGUGCGAAAGCCAGGGGAGCAAACGG